UACGAAGGGGGCUAGCGUUGCUCGGAAUCACUGGGCGUAAAGCGUGCGCAGGCGGUUUUGUAAGUCUGUCGUGAAAGCCCCGGGCUCAACCUGGGAAUUGCGAUGGAGACUGCAAGGCUUGAAUCUGGCAGAGGGGGGUAGAAUUCCACGUGUAGCAGUGAAAUGCGUAGAGAUGUGGAGGAACACCGAUGGCGAAGGCAGCCCCCUGGGUCAAGAUUGACGCUCAUGCACGAAAGCGUGGGGAGCAAACAGG
This 253-nucleotide ribosomal RNA is filed under the name uncultured bacterium. Its description in RNAcentral is "partial 16S ribosomal RNA". It matches the Rfam family "Bacterial small subunit ribosomal RNA", at positions 524 to 776 of the family's 1533-position model. The record is from RNAcentral.